This 677-nucleotide ribosomal RNA is filed under the name Kocuria rosea subsp. polaris. RNAcentral describes it as "bacterial SSU rRNA". It matches the Rfam family "Bacterial small subunit ribosomal RNA", at positions 134 to 822 of the family's 1533-position model. Lineage: Bacteria; Bacillati; Actinomycetota; Actinomycetes; Micrococcales; Micrococcaceae. The record is from RNAcentral.
GACUCUGGGAUAAGCCUGGGAAACCUGGGUCUAAUACUGGAUACUACCUCGCACCGCAUGGUGGGUGGUGGAAAGGGUUUUACUGGUUUUGGAUGGGCUCACGGCCUAUCAGCUUGUUGGUGGGGUAAUGGCUCACCAAGGCGACGACGGGUAGCCGGCCUGAGAGGGUGACCGGCCACACUGGGACUGAGACACGGCCCAGACUCCUACGGGAGGCAGCAGUGGGGAAUAUUGCACAAUGGGCGCAAGCCUGAUGCAGCGACGCCGCGUGAGGGAUGACGGCCUUCGGGUUGUAAACCUCUUUCAGUAGGGAAGAAGCGAAAGUGACGGUACCUGCAGAAGAAGCGCCGGCUAACUACGUGCCAGCAGCCGCGGUAAUACGUAGGGCGCAAGCGUUGUCCGGAAUUAUUGGGCGUAAAGAGCUCGUAGGCGGUUUGUCGCGUCUGCUGUGAAAGCCCGGGGCUCAACCCCGGGUCUGCAGUGGGUACGGGCAGACUAGAGUGCAGUAGGGGAGACUGGAAUUCCUGGUGUAGCGGUGAAAUGCGCAGAUAUCAGGAGGAACACCGAUGGCGAAGGCAGGUCUCUGGGCUGUUACUGACGCUGAGGAGCGAAAGCAUGGGGAGCGAACAGGAUUAGAUACCCUGGUAGUCCAUGCCGUAAACGUUGGGCACUAGGUG